UACGUAGGGUGCGAGCGUUGUCCGGAAUUACUGGGCGUAAAGAGCUCGUAGGUGGUUUGUCGCGUUGUUCGUGAAAACUCACAGCUCAACUGUGGGCGUGCGGGCGAUACGGGCAGACUGGAGUACUGCAGGGGAGACUGGAAUUCCUGGUGUAGCGGUGGAAUGCGCAGAUAUCAGGAGGAACACCGAUGGCGAAGGCAGUGUUCUGGGCCAGUACUGACGCUGAGGAGCGAAAGCGUGGGGAGCAAACAGG
RNAcentral lists this ribosomal RNA (253 nucleotides) under uncultured bacterium. RNAcentral describes it as "partial 16S ribosomal RNA". It matches the Rfam family "Bacterial small subunit ribosomal RNA", at positions 524 to 776 of the family's 1533-position model. The record is from RNAcentral.